Molecule: ribosomal RNA, 508 nt
Filed under: uncultured bacterium
Lineage: Bacteria
Description: bacterial SSU rRNA
Rfam family: Bacterial small subunit ribosomal RNA
Source: RNAcentral
GAUCAUGGCUCAGGAUGAACGCUAGCGGCAGGCUUAACACAUGCAAGUCGAGGGGCAUCGGGAGUAGCAAUACUUGCCGGCGACCGGCGCAAGGGUGCGUAACGCGUGAGCAACAUGCCCGUAUCAGGGGGAUAAUCCAUGGAAACGUGGUCUAAUACCCCAUAGUAAUUAUGUAAGGCAUCUUAUAUAAUUUAAAGCUUUGGUGGAUACGGAUUGGCUCGCGUGACAUUAGCUAGAUGGUAAGGUAACGGCUUACCAUGGCUACGAUGUCUAGGGGUUCUGAGAGGAAGGUCCCCCACACUGGAACUGAGACACGGUCCAGACUCCUACGGGAGGCAGCAGUGAGGAAUAUUGGACAAUGGAUGGAAAUCUGAUCCAGCCAUGCCGCGUGCAGGAAGACGGCCCUAUGGGUUGUAAACUGCUUUUGUAUGGGAGCAAUAAGGGCUACGCGUAGUCCGAUGAGAGUACCAUACGAAUAAGCACCGGCUAACUCCGUGCCAGCCGCGGC